CUUCCGUAGGUGAACCUGCGGAAGGAUCA
Molecule: ribosomal RNA, 29 nt
Filed under: Hannaella luteola
Lineage: Eukaryota; Fungi; Basidiomycota; Tremellomycetes; Tremellales; Bulleribasidiaceae
Description: partial 18S ribosomal RNA
Source: RNAcentral